Molecule: long non-coding RNA, 2854 nt
Organism: Cavia porcellus (domestic guinea pig)
Lineage: Eukaryota; Metazoa; Chordata; Mammalia; Rodentia; Caviidae
Exons: 2
Source: RefSeq, a predicted model, not a curated record
AUCGCGCGAGAGUUGCGCGGUAGCGAGUAGCAGUUCUCGCGAGACCCAUCACCAUGGUAGCAGCUGCUGCAGAAGCAACGGAGCCCUGGCGCUCAAGUCUGGGUGGGGGUGGGUGAAGUGUGAAGAUUGAGCACAGAGGGCUGCGGGCCACAUAAGUGCGACCCUGGAGCAGAGGAAUGGGGAUAGGAUAGCGGAGACUGAGGUGAGACUCACAAGCCCCAGAUUCAUGCUUAGAAUUGAAGUCUCUUGCUGGAAACUGGGUUUGGGCCAUGGGGCCCGGGAACUCGUUAGAUGCAUCACCCUACGGAAACUAAGCUGCAGCAAGGCCUGAAUCAAGAGCGCCUUUCCCAUAAGGAGGAAAAAGAAUAGUGAUUAAUCGAAAAGAUUGAAGGAAACAACUGAACUUGAAAGACAACUGGUUGAAGCUUCAUGUUUGGAGGUGUGGUCUAAGGAAGUAUAUCUAGAUAAAUAUGGAUUUCAGAAUCCCUAGGAAAAGCAAAGGGCUUUACUCCUGUGUGUCUCACUUCCUACCUAUCAAUCCCUGUUUCCACCACACUCAUUUUUGCCUCUGGUGAACGUGUACAAAUCUGCCUUGGAAUAGUCACAGCUGUGAUAAAAGCUGCACUCGAAGGACAUUAGAGAAAGUAGCUCUUCCCUAAAGCUUGGGCCAAAAUUGCUAGUCUCCUGAAUUUUCUGCCUUGUUGCUUGUUUCCUUCCAAGGAGAACUAGGUUGGUAGACACCCACAUUAUGUGUACUACUUCAAACCCUAGUCUGUGUCCUUAGCAGACUCUUCCUCUUGUUCCAGGCAGUUUUCUUAUAUUUAUUUAAAGAAUAAUGUGACUUAGGGCUGGAGGUUUAGCUCAGCGGCAUAAGCACCUGCCUUGCAAGCAGGCGGUCGUGAGUUCGAUCCCCGGUACCGAUAAAAAAAGGAUAAUGUGACUUAGAGUAUAAAGUCAGUAGGACUCUAAUUAUUGAAGACAGUGAGGAAUGAGAUGGAUUUAAAGAAAAAACAAAACAAGGAACUUGUUCAUGACAAAAGGAAUUACCUCACUGGGUAGCAUCAAACUUGCUCUGAUCCUCCUGCCUCACACUCCCAAGUUCUGGGAUUACAGGUGUGGGCCUCCAUGCCUGGCUAUGCUUUGUGUUUUUAAAGGCUGAAGACUUCCAGUGUUACAUUCUAGAGUGGGUCCUGUGAUACCUUCGUGAGAUUACCAUCUCCGUUCCUUCCCCUAGAAAUUCCUAGCAACACUGCACCAGGUUAUACCUCCCCAGGACCACCAGAAUUUGCUAUAGAACUCCUCCUUCCCUAAUGCCUCUAACCACACCUGGAGACCAAUAAGGAAAUAGAAACUGUUAAUGAAUGUUCCUGCCCAAGACUUCACAUCCUCUCACGGUGGUAUUCCAAGUGUAACAGAAGGAUGGGAACAGUAACAGCCUAGUAUGGUUCGUACUCAACACUGGUGAAUUCAACUGGAAGAUCUCUCCUUCUUCUGUCCUUCACCCCUCAGGAAUCUGGGGAAGAAAAUGUCUACGUAGCUUCAGAGAGGGCUGCCCAUGAAGCAGACAGGAGCAGAGAAAGGAAAAAUGCUGCCCAGUUGGCAAUUAACUGCCUAUUGCCACACCCCAACUUCCUAGCCAUUUGGUAAAGGGUAGAAGAACUCAUCCAGAGCUGAAGGAGGCCCAGAUCCCUGAUUUAGAGUCUUUUUCCAUCUCUCUGGCUGCCACUAGAGCCUAGUAAAAACUGAAAGUGUAGCCACCAGCUCCCAUUCUGUCCCUGACCCUAGGCCUGGGCCUGAGCCCAGGCGUGUGCCAGGAGGAGGGGUGUUGGCCUUACUGACAAAAUCCAUUUGGAAUUUUUCAAGGUUGUGGUUUGGGGCUAAGUCUGGCACAGACAGUAUCUGAUGAAAGAAGGAAAGCUAGGAAAAAAAGAAGCCAAAAGGACUACAGAGGACAGAAACAGGAAACAGCUAAACUCUUCUUGCUACAACUCCAUUGGAGAGUCUCUGUCCCCUUCUUGAAAAAUUGAAAAAUUUGUAGUCAGGGUGUUCUUUCUCACUCUCUUUGAUAUCCUUUUCCAAUUCUAGCUGCAUCCCUUCUCUUUUGCCCCUCUCCCAUAUGCAUAUGAGGUUCAAUAAGGGUGUGAAUUAAGAAUGGGAUAUAGUGGCCAGGGACUUAGCCUCAGCAACAUAAGCACCUGCCUGGCAAGCAUGAGGUCAUGAGUUCGAUCCCCAGUACUAAAAAAAAGAAUGGGGUAUCGCCUGACACCAGCACAUUUUCAAACCUGUAAUUCUCAGUGCUCAAGUAGAGAGUCACAACAUAAAAUGCUGUCAUAAAAUACUGCCCUAACCCAACACAAAUAUCCAUGUUGCUGCUUUCAUUUCACCUAAUUAGAGAAUAAUUUGGGUAACAGAUAAAUCUAUUGUCCAGAGAAGUAGAAUUAUUUCUAUAUCCAUGGCCAAGGUCAUGACCUGUUAAAUUGGCAUAUUGAAGUUUCCCAGGCAUGCAAUCAUUUAUAGUUUUAAAUAUCUAUAUAUACAUAUAUGUUACGGUUUUUGUCUAGGUGGCCCCCCAAUUCUCAUGCAGUUAUGGAGGUAGCUGAAUCUAGUGUUUGUGAUUGGCUCAUUGUCUACCACUGGGAUUGGUGAUGUGAGUGUUGCACCCACCAGGGGCAGAGCUCACAUACAAUAUAAGGGAGGGAAUAAGGCAUGUCUUUUCCUCUUUUUGCCCUUUUGCUCCUGCUGUUUGUGGCUGCCAUGAAUAGCUUCCCCUCAGCCACACCACCCUUGGAGCCAAUUGAAUAUGGACUGAAACCUCCAAAACACUGUAAGCUAAAUAAAUCUUUUCCUUCCUUCA